Molecule: ribosomal RNA, 270 nt
Filed under: uncultured archaeon
Lineage: Archaea
Description: partial 16S ribosomal RNA
Rfam family: Archaeal small subunit ribosomal RNA
Source: RNAcentral
CAGCACCUCAAGUGGUCAGGAUGAUUAUUGGGCCUAAAGCAUCCGUAGCCGGCGCUGUAAGUUUUCGGUUAAAUCUGUACGCUCAACGUACAGGCUGCCGGGAAUACUGCAGAGCUAGGGAGUGGGAGAGGUAGACGGUACUCGGCAGGAAGGGGUAAAAUCCUUUGAUCUAUUGAUGACCACCUGUGGCGAAGGCGGUCUACCAGAACACGUCCGACGGUGAGGGAUGAAAGCUGGGGGAGCAAACCGGAUUAGAUACCCGAGUAGUCC